This 377-nucleotide ribosomal RNA is filed under the name uncultured bacterium. RNAcentral's name for it is "bacterial SSU rRNA". It matches the Rfam family "Bacterial small subunit ribosomal RNA", at positions 790 to 1167 of the family's 1533-position model. The record is from RNAcentral.
GUAGUCCACGCCGUAAACGAUGGAUACUCGGCGUUCGGAGAGUUAACCCUCUGAGUGCCAAAGUUCACACAUUAAGUAUCCCGCCUGGGAAGUACGGUCGCAAGACUAAAACUCAAAGGAAUUGACGGGGGCCCGCACAAGAGGUGGAGUAUGUGGUUUAAUUCGAAGCAACGCGCAGAACCUUACCUGGUCUUGACAUUGUGAGACAUCCGCAGAGAUGCGGCUUUCCCUUCGGGGACUCAUAAACAGGUGCUGCAUGGCUGUCGUCAGCUCGUGUUGUGAAAUGUUCGGUUAAGUCCGGCAACGAGCGCAACCCCUGUUCUUAGUUACCAGCAUUAAGUUGGGGACUCUAGGAAGACUGCCGGUGUUAAACCGGA